GGUCAAGUGAAGAAGCGCAUACGGUGGAUGCCUUGGCAGUCAGAGGCGAUGAAAGACGUGGUAGCCUGCGAAAAGCUUCGGGGAGUCGGCAAACAGACUUUGAUCCGGAGAUGUCUGAAUGGGGGAACCCAGCCAUCAUAAGAUGGUUAUCUUGUACUGAAUACAUAGGUGCAAGAGGCGAACCAGGGGAACUGAAACAUCUAAGUACCCUGAGGAAAAGAAAUCAACCGAGAUUCCCUUAGUAGUGGCGAGCGAACGGGGACUAGCCCUUAAGUGGAUUUGAGAUUAGCGGAACGCUCUGGAAAGUGCGGCCAUAGUGGGUGAUAGCCCUGUACGCGAAAAUCUCUUGUCAAUGAAAUCGAGUAGGACGGAGCACGAGAAACUUUGUCUGAAUAUGGGGGGACCAUCCUCCAAGGCUAAAUACUACUGACUGACCGAUAGUGAACUAGUACCGUGAGGGAAAGGCGAAAAGAACCCCGGAGAGGGGAGUGAAAUAGAUCCUGAAACCGUAUGCGUACAAGCAGUGGGAGCCCACUUUGUUGGGUGACUGCGUACCUUUUGUAUAAUGGGUCAGCGACUUAUUUUCAGUGGCGAGCUUAACCGAAUAGGGGAGGCGUAGCGAAAGCGAGUCUUAAUAGGGCGUCUAGUCGCUGGGAAUAGACCCGAAACCGGGCGAUCUAUCCAUGGGCAGGUUGAAGGUUAGGUAACACUGACUGGAGGACCGAACCGACUACCGUUGAAAAGUUAGCGGAUGACCUGUGGAUCGGAGUGAAAGGCUAAUCAAGCUCGGAGAUAGCUGGUUCUCCUCGAAAGCUAUUUAGGUAGCGCCUCAUGUAUCACUGUAGGGGGUAGAGCACUGUUUCGGCUAGGGGGUCAUCCCGACUUACCAAACCGAUGCAAACUCCGAAUACCUACAAGUGCCGAGCAUGGGAGACACACGGCGGGUGCUAACGUCCGUCGUGAAAAGGGAAACAACCCAGACCGUCAGCUAAGGUCCCAAAGUUAUGGUUAAGUGGGAAACGAUGUGGGAAGGCUUAGACAGCUAGGAGGUUGGCUUAGAAGCAGCCACCCUUUAAAGAAAGCGUAAUAGCUCACUAGUCGAGUCGGCCUGCGCGGAAGAUGUAACGGGGCUCAAACCAUACACCGAAGCUACGGGUAUCACUUAGGUGAUGCGGUAGAGGAGCGUUCUGUAAGCCUGUGAAGGUGAGUUGAGAAGCUUGCUGGAGGUAUCAGAAGUGCGAAUGCUGACAUGAGUAACGACAAUGGGUGUGAAAAACACCCACGCCGAAAGACCAAGGUUUCCUGCGCAACGUUAAUCGACGCAGGGUUAGUCGGUCCCUAAGGCGAGGCUGAAAAGCGUAGUCGAUGGAAAACAGGUUAAUAUUCCUGUACUUCUGGUUAUUGCGAUGGAGGGACGGAGAAGGCUAGGCCAGCUUGGCGUUGGUUGUCCAAGUUUAAGGUGGUAGGCUGGAAUCUUAGGUAAAUCCGGGAUUCUAAGGCCGAGAGCUGAUGACGAGUGUUCUUUUAGAACACGAAGUGGUUGAUGCCAUGCUUCCAAGAAAAGCUUCUAAGCUUCAGGUAACCAGGAACCGUACCCCAAACCGACACAGGUGGUUGGGUAGAGAAUACCAAGGCGCUUGAGAGAACUCGGGUGAAGGAACUAGGCAAAAUGGCACCGUAACUUCGGGAGAAGGUGCGCCGGUGAGGGUGAAGCACUUGCUGCGUAAGCCCACGCCGGUCGAAGAUACCAGGCCGCUGCGACUGUUUAUUAAAAACACAGCACUCUGCAAACACGAAAGUGGACGUAUAGGGUGUGACGCCUGCCCGGUGCCGGAAGGUUAAUUGAUGGGGUUAGCUAACGCGAAGCUCUUGAUCGAAGCCCCGGUAAACGGCGGCCGUAACUAUAACGGUCCUAAGGUAGCGAAAUUCCUUGUCGGGUAAGUUCCGACCUGCACGAAUGGCGUAACGAUGGCGGCGCUGUCUCCACCCGAGACUCAGUGAAAUUGAAAUCGCUGUGAAGAUGCAGUGUAUCCGCGGCUAGACGGAAAGACCCCGUGAACCUUUACUAUAGCUUUGCACUGGACUUUGAAUUUGCUUGUGUAGGAUAGGUGGGAGGCUUUGAAGCGUGGACGCCAGUUCGCGUGGAGCCAUCCUUGAAAUACCACCCUGGCAACUUUGAGGUUCUAACUCAGGUCCGUUAUCCGGAUCGAGGACAGUGUAUGGUGGGUAGUUUGACUGGGGCGGUCUCCUCCUAAAGAGUAACGGAGGAGUACGAAGGUGCGCUCAGACCGGUCGGAAAUCGGUCGUAGAGUAUAAAGGCAAAAGCGCGCUUGACUGCGAGACAGACACGUCGAGCAGGUACGAAAGUAGGUCUUAGUGAUCCGGUGGUUCUGUAUGGAAGGGCCAUCGCUCAACGGAUAAAAGGUACUCCGGGGAUAACAGGCUGAUACCGCCCAAGAGUUCAUAUCGACGGCUGUGUUUGGCACCUCGAUGUCGGCUCAUCACAUCCUGGGGCUGAAGCCGGUCCCAAGGGUAUGGCUGUUCGCCAUUUAAAGUGGUACGCGAGCUGGGUUUAGAACGUCGUGAGACAGUUCGGUCCCUAUCUGCCGUGGACGUUUGAGAUUUGAGAGGGGCUGCUCCUAGUACGAGAGGACCGGAGUGGACGAACCUCUGGUGUUCCGGUUGUCACGCCAGUGGCAUUGCCGGGUAGCUAUGUUCGGAAUAGAUAACCGCUGAAAGCAUCUAAGCGGGAAACUAGCCUCAAGAUGAGAUCUCACUGGAGCCUUGAGCUCCCUGAAGGGCCGUCGAAGACUACGACGUUGAUAGGUUGGGUGUGUAAGCGCUGUGAGGCGUUGAGCUAACCAAUACUAAUUGCCCGUGAGGCUUGACCAU
This 2892-nucleotide ribosomal RNA is filed under the name Pseudomonas sp. B21-017. Its description in RNAcentral is "23S ribosomal RNA". It matches the Rfam family "Bacterial large subunit ribosomal RNA". The record is from RNAcentral. Lineage: Bacteria; Pseudomonadati; Pseudomonadota; Gammaproteobacteria; Pseudomonadales; Pseudomonadaceae.